AAGUCGUAACAAGGUAACCGUAGGUGAACCUGCGGUUGGAUCAUUAGAGUAGUUUGAAAGGGAAGAAUUUGCAUAGUUUUUAAUUGUGCAAGCUUCCUCCCUUUUCUAAACAUAUUCCCCUAAUUGUACAUGUUUCCUGUUUUAUUAGACAGUCCGGCAAUUUGUAAUUGUUGGCUGGCUAAUUGUGACUAACGCUUAUUAUCUUGUGUAAUUUUUUUUUUGCAUGCAAUGUUUCCAUUCAUAUUGUUGUUUGGUUUCUUGCAUUUUUUAUUAAUGAAUACAACUUUAGACAAUGGAUCUCUUGGCUCUC
Molecule: unclassified non-coding RNA, 310 nt
Filed under: fungal sp.
Lineage: Eukaryota; Fungi
Description: partial internal transcribed spacer region
Rfam family: Eukaryotic small subunit ribosomal RNA (bases 1-46)
Source: RNAcentral